GCGUCGACUUCAUCGUGAGGGUGUAACAUGGUAACCCGGGAAGAUUGACAGAGCUUCCUCCAUCAUAUACAUCUAUAAAACUACUCGUUAAAUUCCUCAACAAAUUCAAACCACAAAUUCUUUUUUCUCCUACAAUAGAAUCAAUCUUUCUAGCAAUUUUAUCGAUGAAUAAUCUUCUUGCUCUGUUUUCAAUUGCAGUGCGUGUAUUUCUGCCUUUGUUUGUCAUCCCGGAGUUUCGGUCUUACUUCCUCAGCACAUCAUCGACAAACCGUGGUCUUGCCAAAGUGAGUUUUUAAAUACUCCAAAAUUAUUCUGAAACAAUGUACCGGAGAGCAAAAUUCUCAACUUCGUCUCAACUUUCAUCAGAGCCUUCCUCAGCCUCAAUUUAUUGUUUCUAGGGUUAUGCCCCUCAUCAAGGAUUAGGAUCCUAGGGCAUUGCUGCAACAAAUGGCCUAAAUACCGCCUGUGAGAAUCUUUUUAAUCUUCUCGUGUGAGUGUCAUAAAAUAGGAAUAACUCAUUAGAAGCACACACGGGUGAUCAAGCAACUUUUGAAUUCUUUCCAUGCAUUCUACAAUAUGCAAAGCAUUGGAGUUGGGUUUUGGGAAUCCAGGUUCAAGAGAUAUUCCCAAUUUCUUUCUCAAGACUUCACCUCUGUAAGGUUGUCUUUUUUUGAGCCACUUGCCAAUAGGUGAUAAACAUAGACUACUUUCUCCGGACCUGGACGAAAAGUCAGUGCUACAGCUUGCUUUGUCUUAGAAGGGUUCCACUUUUGAUCCAAUAAGAUCACUUGACGCUGCAGUCAGAUUAAUGCCCUCACAGCAAGCUGUAAUUGAAGCCAGCAUUACUUUUGACACCCCUUCCCUCUGCUCAAACUUAUCCAUUGCAAUUCCACGUUCGAAUAGUUCCAUUUUUCCUUGAAGGUCCAAAACUUCUUCCCCUUUCCUCCAUCCGUUGGAGGAUGCAAAUAAAUUAACAAAAAGACCAAUCGGGGAAAUAUUGUGGAAAAAGAUUAAAACCUUCUAUUUCCUCAUGAUGCAUUUAGGCACUAGCCUCAUUACAAACCUCACCUUGAAAGGCAACUUGAGGUCAAGCUUGUAUUUCUCAAGACCUUCAAGUUCUUGCUCGUUGAAGUAUUGACAGGAAGCAGGUGUAGUUUGAAGCAACCAAGUGUAUCGAAACUAGAGUGGACAGAAACUUCUUUUCCAGUGGAAACCUUUGUACUUGGCGACUUGAUAUACAAGUUUUUUCAAAAGCUCUUGCUAUUUUGGCGUCGACUUCAUCGUGAGGGUGUAACAUUGUAACCCGGGAAGAUUGACAGAGCUUCCUCUAUCAUAUUCAUCUAUAAAACUACUCAUUAAAUUCCUCAAUAAAUUCAAACCACACAUUCUUUCUUCUCCUACACUUGAAUCAAUCUUCCUCGUAAUUUUAGGAAUUGAGCGAGUAGUUUUAUAGUAUAUAUGAUGGAGGAAGCUCUGUCAAUCUUCCCGGGUUACAAUGUUACACCCUCACGAUGAAGUCGACGCCAAAACAGCAAGAGCUUUUGAAAAAACAUCUAAAUCAAGGCGCCAAGUGCAAAGGAUUUUCACUGGAAAAGGAGUUUCUGGCCACUCUAGUUUCGAUACAUCCUUGGUUGCUCAAAACUACACCUGCUUCUAGUCAAUACUUCAACAAGCAAGAAUUUAAGGGCUCCGCCCUAAUCCCCCUUCAGAUCUGCCGAUUUCACCCCUAGGAAUCCCCCUUCUCCCACCCUAGCUUCCAUUCAUUCGCUACCGCUAGUUUUGGUUCUUUCUCGAGCAGAGAAUUGGGAUUUUGUGGCGAUUUGGAGGCUGCAAUCGAUUUGUUCUUCGAUUAACUGAGGACCAACAUAUACUACACACUGAGUAUAUGUCUCCCAUUCGCUUGCCAGGCUUCAAAUAUGUAAGUAUUCUCUUAUUAUGCAGAGCUCUGGCUGGUGGUGCUUAGAUUUGAAUAUGUUGUUCAAUGUAGAGCCUUGGCUGGUGGUGCUUAGAUUUGUACUUAUGUUGUUUAAUGCAGAGCCCUGGCUGGUGGUGCUUAGUUUUGUGAUGGUCAAUUCGUUUGGGUAUAACAAAUAGCUAUCCGCCCGACGCACGAUGGUGCAAGAUGAGCUAUUAAAGCUUGAUAUUACCUUGAUGGAGAAGUUCAAGUUAAGUGCCGUAGCCUGUCAAGAGGAACAAAGGGUUGACAACUUCUAUAGCACGAAGCCUAAGGAGAGACAACUAUAUGUGGAGGCCAUCCUUAGCGGUCUUGUGUAUGGUCCCAUUUAGUGGGAUACGUAGUGCCUUUUUGAAGUGGGUUAAGUACCAUUAUAAGCAAGAAUGGUACUUUAUCCAUUUUUUUUGAAGUGGCAGAACUUUAUCGUCGUAUCCUUAAUUAGGAAGCCAUUUGUUAAUGUAUAAUGAACAAUGGAGGAUGACAACGAACUAUGGUGGGUGUAUGAACUAUGAACUAUGCACUAUGAUCUUAAACUCAUGAAUUUGGUACAUUUUUUUUUUUUUGAUCCGCGAAUUUGGUACAUUUGAUGCAUACUUUUUGGUCAUAUUUGGAAAUGUAAUAUGAAGUUUCUUUGCAUGACA
Molecule: long non-coding RNA, 2595 nt
Organism: Rhododendron vialii
Lineage: Eukaryota; Viridiplantae; Streptophyta; Magnoliopsida; Ericales; Ericaceae
Exons: 2
Source: RefSeq, a predicted model, not a curated record